UUAUCCUCCACUAAUGGAUCAUGAGCAGCAAGAGUGCAGAGAUGAAAGAAAAAGUUAUUUCCUAUUUCAAGUAAAUUUUAUGAAUUGGCUAACCCUUAGUAAACCAAAGAUGGGAAAUCUGACUCUUUGUCAUAACCCACAUUGAUCAGCACUGUUGUAACCAUAUGUAUUUAGCUAUUUUUAUCUAACACCUGGCAGCAACUUUUGUAUCACUACUGAAACCAUCAAUGGAACUAUUAAGAAGGAGGACGCAUUUAAUAACCCCUGCAGUUCUCAUCGCAGCAGGGCUAAGCCUAACAGGGAUGUUCUUACCAUCAGCACUGAAUUUCAGUGCUUUUUAUUACAUUGGCCGUGUUUCAUUAGAAUUCAGCCUUCUUCAGGCUUCUUACAAAACAUAUACUUUGUACUUUGCAGACUCUGUUGGCUGUCAGGGGCGAACUUGUGUGGCCAGAAGACCAAAUGACAGUGUUCACAGAAGAGAGGGAAAAGUCAAUUUAACUUUAAAAUAUAAGCACUUACUGAGGCUAGAGAUGAAAUAAUGGAGGCAGGCUCGUCUGCCUAGUGUGACAGUGGGAUCUGAAAGCAGAAUAAGACAGAGAGGAAAAACAGGGUAAGCAGCUGGAGUGAAAUGCCAUGUUUGUUAGGCAGGAAAUCAAUAAUCUUUGAUGGUCAAGUCUUAUAUAAACCUUUAUUCUGGGCCUGCUAUGUUUGGAAAUUACAACAAAAGAAACAAAAGCUAGUUACUUGGAAAAAUCCAACCUCAGGUUGUUUACUAAGCUGAAGGAGUGCCUGGAAUCGCUCUUCUGUAGAGGAAAAACAAGUGAAAAGGAUUUUGCUGCUGAAGGCUGAAUAUGUACUCCUCUGGGAACAGAAAACACAUGGAUUUGAUCACACCUCUUUCUCCUGCUUCCAGAUAUCCGUGCUUGCCUAAAGAACUGCACUCUCUCUGGGAUAGCUCAGAAAACCAACAUGGUCAUUAACUUUUCCAAAGAUAGCAGUGGAGAAGCAGCAGCUGAGGCAAUGCAGUGACUCAAUAUGUGACCCUCUGGAGUCCCUGGUGCAUCUUAGAAGGUCAUUUCAGGAGAUACAUUCUGGUGGGACCAGUGGGAAGUGGACCCUAGGGAGCAGCUGGACUGGAGGAUGAUGUGUUCCAACCUGAGUGCUCAGAUUGCAGCACUGCCAAUCCCAGAUGUUCACAAACCAUGAGGAAAGUCUGAGAAAGGCCUGAGAUUGAGUAAAAACUUAAAAUUGAGAUUUUAAAAAGAAAAUAAGUUUAGGGUGUGGUUUAUUGCCUUCAGGUUUCUUAGCCUUUAGGGUGCACUUGAGUCAUGUUUUUAAGUUUCUCUUUGCUACCAUGAGGUCUAGGAAACUUACUUAAAACCGUAAGCCAAGAUUCUCACCUAAUCAUUUGGUUGUGGGAGCUGAAAAAUACAAAAUUAUGAGAGGUGCAGCACUGACUGGUGGGGCCAGGCAUAUGGCAAGUAGUUGGGAAAGGCCUCUUGGAGAGGGAGGGCAGGCAGCCUGUGAAUGGGGUGCAGCAAAGAGGCCCGUGAAGUCAGUGGGGAGAAGUGUUGAGAGGCAGGUAGGAGAAGAGGAUCAGCACUUGAAGAAAGUGAAGUUGGACAUAUCAGGAGAUGGGAAAAUGUUUCCUGCAAUAAUCUCCAUCAGUUAACCCCUACGAGUCCUUGGUGGAACAAAAUGAACUGUUUAUCAGGUAAAUUUGCUUUCCCACAGAGACUGAGAUGAUUUCAUUGAUUUACAGAGAGAACAUGCCAAAAUAAGUAUGUCAGCAGGCCAAGGAAAGUGAUACUGCCCCUCUACUUAGCCCUUGUGAGGCUGCAUCUGGAGUGCUAUGUCCGGUUCUGGGCUCCUCAGUACGAGAUACAUGGAACCCCUGGAGUGAGUCCAACAGAGGGCUAAAAAAAUGAUUAAGGGACUGGAGCAUCACUCUUAUGAGGAAAGGCUGAGGAAUUUGGGCCCAUUCAGCCUCGGGAAGAGAUGACUGAGAGGGGACCUCUUCGAUGUUUAUACAUAUCUGAAGGGAAUGUGCCAAGAGGAUGAAGCCAGGCUCUUCUCAGUGAUGCCAAGUAAUAGGACAAGAGGCAAUGGGCAGAAAGUUCCACCUGAAUAUGAGGAAGAACUUCUUUACUGUGCGGGUGACCACACACUGGAACAGAUUGCCCAGAGAGGUUGUGGAGUCUCCCUCACUGGAGAUAUUCAAGAACUGUCUGUACACAAACCUGUGCAAUGUGCUCUAGGCUGACCCUGCUUGAGCAGAGAGGUUCAACUAGAUGACCCACAGUGGUCCCUUCCAACCUUACCCAUUCUGGGAUUCUGUGGUUCUGUAAUUGUUACUCAGAGAAGUGGAUGCUUGGUCUGAGCAGAGUGAACUGAGGAUGAUGAGUGGCAAGUCCAUAUUAAAACUAACUGAUAAAAAGAUAAUCUGUGGCAGCCCUAACUUAGCUUUUCAGCAUAGUAGUAGAGUAAAAAUCUUUAGAGCCUGCAGAAAGCCAAAGAGCAACUGGACUGAAAAGAUGAAACAGUCUUAAGGCCAUGAACAUUUACAUUUUACAAUUUCCAUCUUUAAAAAAUCAAGUUGAGACAGGAGUGGAUGAGAGUGUUGAGAGCUGUGAAAGGCCUUAGCUUUGAAUUAGCCUUCCUUUAGCUGUGAGGUGCUUCCAAAUGCAGUGCAGAAGUGUAGAUAAGACUGCCUCACAGUUCAAACACAGGGUGAAGAUGUAAAAAUUGCAGUUGUCCUCUCAACUCAGCCACCAACGGUGGGAUGAGUGUGCUCAGUGUGAUCGAUUUUAUAGGUGAAUGUAGGGAGCUAUGUAUGCAGACCUUAAUAAUUCCUCCAUGUCCUUCACUGUGAAGCAAAGAAGUGGCACAAAACACUCUAUGAUGUGUUUUACUCACAGUUCAGCAAUGCCUCCCCUCAGAAAACCCUCAGCUGAAUGCAGAAAUUGCAUUGCAUUUCUGCAUGCUCUGUGGAGUCUUUGCCCAACCCAGUGUUAGGCAUGUAACUUAAAGGACUGGUCUCUGUCAAGCAGAAAAAAUAAAUUCUUGCAGGUGGUGAAUGAGAGCGCAGCCUUCUGUGUCCUCUUGCAGUGCUGGUGGCACAAGUGCACUAGCUGGACCCUCAGCUGCACACAUCUGUGUGUGCAAAUACCCCUUUUCUCUGUCCAGAAGCAUCCUUGGAUGACUCACGAUAUUCAAGGAUGGAAGUUCUGUUCUGUCUUAGACAUUAGAAAAAAAUUGCUCUCAAGAAAAAAAAAAGGAAAAAAAAAGAAAAAAGGAAAUAAAGUUUUGUUCAUUUUCUUUUUGCCACACAAAUACAUACUCCAUUGGAUGAUGGUUUUAUUAUGCUUACUGCUGUACUGAGCAAACUCCUUGCUGCACGGAGAGCUAGUUGGUGUUUUGGGUUGACUAGCUCAUACUUAACCAUGUCUUCAAAGACUCUGCAGUGAUGCUGCAUACUGAAAAAAAAAUGUGCAGAUUAGGCACUUUUGAAAAUCCCAUUUGAAGGAUCAGUUCAAUACAUUUUGUUAAGAAACUUGAACUAAAAUAGAACCAUGAAAUCAAAGCCUAGCUAGCAUUAAUAUUCCACGAAAGUAAAAGUGGAGCAUUACGGACAUCAAAUCAAAAUCAAGUCAACAAAUUGACUGCAGCACUGGAUCAAAAUGAAACCAAAUUGCCAACUUGAUGAAAACCCACAGUGUUUAUGAUCUCUGAGGAUCUAUGAAAGCACGUCUGUUUAGCUAGAAAUUUCAAAAAGCACAUUUUUCCAGAGCCAGACAGAAACAUAGGACCGAGCUGGGUUAUUCAAUGGUGAAACCACUAUUUCAGAGCCAAUUAUCUAGCUUCCUUCUUUGGAUCCUCUUCCUCAGUAAUGAGUAAAUCCUAAUCCCACCUCCUGAGUGCCAUCAUAUAUAGCACAGUCUCAGAAAAGAACACUCCUGAUAAGCAGAAGUUUGUCAGAAGUUAUUUACCAGAAAUUGCAGAUGACAAUUUCAGGUCUUUUAGGAUCAAACAGAGGCCCCAGAAAAUAUAUUAAAGAGCAAUUUUAUGCAGUGUUAUAUAUAACUUCUAAGCCUCAGGAACUUUCCUUCCCUCCUCUUCUCUUUUUCAGAGACAUUUGUGCACAUCUGGAAAUAUAAAGCUACAUUUAAACACUAGGAAACUGAAUAGUAUAAAAAGACCUGGGUGUCUACUACCUAACAAAAUAGGAAAAGAAAAAAAGAUGACUAAGACAAAGGAAUGUAACUGCUUCUUUAACUCUCUUACUCCUUCACACUUGCAGAAGAGAGAACUGUGCAGAACAACAGAGAGAGGGUGACUGGAGAAUUGAAAGGAGAAUUUUUGCCUAAACAAGAGUAGCUGAAGGAAAAAACCUUUGGAUCAGUAAUUUUUAUUCUGAUAAAGUUCCUUCAGAGUUAGUAAAUUGUGAGGUUUACUUUUUUGACUGAUGUUUUAAGUGAAAUCUCAGGAUUAAAAUCAGUCAGUAAAAGAGAAACCUGCCUUUGUGAAUCUUUAAUUAUGAAAAAUUAUAUCAACCUUUUCACUUCCACAUUGAAACUCUUAAACUGAGAUUACAAUUGAAUGUAAUUUAGAAUGCACUGUAAUAUUAAGAAAUCUUAAAUAUAAAAUCAUCUCCAAAUCAGAAAUCCCACAAUCUGGAAUUGUUUUGAGGGCAAAAGGACAAAAAUCUGAGAUUUUUGGAAGUCUAGGAUUGCAUCCAACUCCAGAACUCCAUUUUUUUAUUUUAAUAAAACUUGGAAAAUAGAGUUGAUCUCUUGCUUUGUAGAUAUCAGCUGAAAAAAAACCCACCAAAAACCAAAUCACAAAACUGUGCCCAGAUUGAGUCUGCAAGUUAGAAACAUGAUGCCGUUAUUUCUCCUGCACAAAGUUUUGCAUAGGAAAUUGCAGUUAUGUAUAAAAUACUAGUUCAAAAAUAGUUUUCCAUAAGGGAACAUACCUAAGCAUAAAUACAGAGGAGCGAGUUAAAUUGGAACUUUCAGGUCAGCUUUUUUGGACUGAAUUUCCUCUCUGGUAGAGAGAGGCAGCUAAAAUGAAUGAUAAAGUGACUGGGUAAAAGCUCUUUUCCCAGUCUGUGAUCCCAGCUAUCACAAACUAAAAAAAUGUGUUCAUAUUUAUAAGCCAUCAGAGCUUUUCCCUAAAAAUACCAUUAUAUUAGGUAUUUUUUAAUAAACACAUAAUCACUAUAAUUGGUACCUCUAAUGAAUGCAAAGGCUAAUUCCAGUGCUUUCUUCCUAUCAGAAAAUAUUUCCUGCCAUUUUAAUAGCAGAAUUCAGUGGGCAUUUACAUCAGGUAAUGCUAGUGACAAAUUCCACUUUGGCUGCAGUGAGGACUGGGACCAAUUUUUCUUAUGUUUAAGACUUGUCUUUUUAUCCCAUUCAGUGUAAGGAGCAGAGAUGAGCUUUCUUUUUGAUGAGAGAGUUGUGAGUCUCUCCCAGAAUGAAACCUCGGGUCCGGAUGUCUCUUGCCUCCCUGUACCCCCACCUGUGUAGCUAUUGCUCACCUCCUGCUUCUGAUCAGAAAAAUGGUGCUUUCAGUAGCUAUUCCAGUUUUAAAAUAUUUCCUUAAGAGAGUUCUAUACUACAGAUUCACAAACACUUCUUUAGUUUGGAAGAAGGAUGUCAAUCAGCAGCACUACCACUUUAUGAACUGCUCCUAUUUCCAAAAUCACCUCUGUUGUUACAGUCCAACAAACUACUGAAAGAGUUCAAAAAAUUGCUGGCUGCAGGGGCUAAUUCAGCUCCUUUUUGAGGUGCUUCGUUCUUUUCUCCUGCCAUGAUUACUGUCCUAUUUUUUUCCCUGGUGGUUGUUAAAUCACUAACUAAUUAUGUAUUAUCAAAGCUGCACAUAACAGUGGAGUUUGUCUCCUGUUUGAUGUAUAUAAAAACAAGCCGAGUGAGUGAGUCAGUCAGGGUACAGAUGGCUGUACCGCUCCACCUGGUGCCUGUGUUAGCACUUAUUCAUGCCUUCCCUUUGUUCUUCUGGGCUCCUUUUACUUUUUACUGCACAGCUAGAAUAGGUACUGACUGCUGCAUUAUGUGUCCUUUAAUGUUUUUUUUAUUAUUACUAUGGGAGAACAAAAACUCUCAUAAAAGGUAUGUUUUCUUUCUGGGAAAAUUUCUCAGUAAUGCAGUAGCUCCUGUGUUGGGGAACUUGAACCUUAAAGGACGUGACAAAGAUUACUAGAUGCCCACUUAGUUUCUCUGGUAGUUACUCAGGCAGUUAUUUGGAAGAAAUGAAAAAUCCCUGAGCCUUCUUCCAUGCUGAUACGAGUUCAACAGUCUGCAAAUAUCAACAUAGAAAUUUACAUGCUUAUCCCUUGAGAAGUCUGUGCACAUAUGGUAUUCUUUUUCAAAUUAUUUAAUUAAAGCUCAAAAAACAUGUGAAAUCUGGAAUGCUCACUUCCAAGAACACCUACCACAUUAAAUCAAACUCCCCAGGUUGACACAUGGAGGCGUUUUCUAAAACGUAAUUUAAUUUUCCCUUCUGUAUUCUUCACCCCCCUCCCUCCCCCAAUUCCCUCACCUUAAGGAACAGUGAGAGACCUACAUUCUCUUUGGCAAUUUACUCAAUUGCACAAGUGAACCUGGUCACAGAUGAACUCAUGCAAUGCUGAAAUGUGGAGGUUGCUACCUUACAUGUUAACUCUUUUUUUUUAUAUAGAGGUAUAAGUAAGGGUUUUUAUUGUCUGCAGAGUCUUGUUCAUGUUGAUCAGUAGAAAUUCUAAACUUUCAGGUCUCAAAUGUAACCCAACAACAUUCCUUCUUCUAUAUUUGUUUAAUACUUGGCAGUUGAGGAAAUAUAUAGCAAGGAAAGACGGAGAUUACCCACUUUGAGGUAGGAGGUUGGGAAUUACCUCCUAUAUUCAGCUGCCACUGCUUGGAAAGAGAUACUGUGCUUGGCAAAGCACACUGCCUGUAAUUAUUAAGCCUGUCAGUUUGAUUUCUGCUUUGAACAAAUUGGAAAAAAAGGACGAAUUCAAAGGAAAAGCUCCAACCCUUGCUAAAGAGAUCAUAACUAUUUUUCAGACCAUAUGCUGUUUCAUUUGGCAAGAUGUUUACCUUGGUACCUGAGAACAUGAGGAACAAAUCCUGGAUUUUUGCUAGACUGUACUCAAAGGAGCAUACAAUGGCAUGUGGAGCCAUUUCUGGCUAUGAACACCCACAGCCUUCUGCGAGAAGGUUGUUCAACCAAACUGCUGGUCAGAGAGGAUCAAUAUUUUUCAGCUCCAGCAUUUAUAACUUGGUGUUUUUUAAUAGAGAAAAAAUGGCACUGUGUAGCCAUAUCUGCUCUCUUGCCAAAGCUGCUCCAAAUGUUCAUAUGGACAUGCCCAACCUACCUUGAAACAGCCCACAGCCAAGGCCUUGCCAAGCAUUUGACUUCCCAAGCAGUUGCAGAACUUGCUGCCGUGGCUGCCUGCCUUGCAGUGCUGGAAAUAGGUACCUGAAAAUUGCCUCCUUUAUGGUACACGUAAGCUUUUGUCACGAGCAGUAACAAAAGCUCUAACUACAUAUGUAGGGUUAUACUGAUAAGUACAAGAAAAAGCGAAUUAUUGAAAACUCCCAUUUCCACAGGAUGAUUCAUUUGCCCCGUCUUGCUUCCCUCCCAAAGUGUCCCUCUGGAAAACAUGCAUCUAAUUGUAGCUUGUCAAAUUACCGGGGAAAUUCAGAUAGCUUAGGCAAUCAGCAGAAGUUUCAUUUUGAUUACUUCUUGUGCAAGUUUUGUACAGAAAUGAUGCUCUGAAGACUCAUUUUAGGGAGAACACUGUUAUAUUGAUGUAGGUGGCAAUUUCCCUCUGAUACAGUAACUUUUGGGUUCAGUGAGGACAGCACCAUGUCUGCCUCUUCCAGCAGUGAAAGCUGAUGCCUCUUAAAAUGUAGGACCCUUAAAACAGGAAUGUGAGAACUAAAUGAUCACCUUGAGUUAUAGACAGUGCUAAUUGCAGAAGUGAAGGAAUCAUUAUAAGCUGUAAAUAGAGGUUUCUGCUACUUCUUUCUAUGUGCUGUAGCCAGAUGGACAUAUUUGGUUGGGGGACCCGGCAGUGAAAAAUGCUGAGAGUGAAAAACAUCUGAAAGUGACAGCCCAGGGAAAAAUAGGCUUGAACUUGCAUGGAUAGUUCUUGGAUUAUUUUCAUGUGAAUGGCAGAAUGAAAUAAUUUGUGAUUUUAGAUAAUGUAUGAAGCAAUUACCAGAAAUAUGGUAUUUUGGCCCAAGGAAAUUCAUGUUCAGGCAAUAAUUUCAAAUGUUUUAAAUUCUACACUUCUGUACUAGGUGACACAAAAUCCUUUUUUGGUAAUGGUUAUAUCACUAAGUCUGUCCUUGCAUGCCCUUCCUUGUUAGCUGUUCAAGCAUUAAAAAGAUUUAUUAACCUUGUCUUAGUUUUAGUAGCCUCUUUUUUCUGCUUUUUUAGUUUGCAGUAUUUGACAUGCAAAAUGUUAUGUUUUUUUAAACCAAGUGCUCCAAGUAGGAAACUACUGCAUUGAAGAAUAAAUAGGCAACUUUAGCUCUGCUCACUUGGACCUGGGAAAGGCUGUACAGUUACAGAAAUCCCAGCAUUUAUAUUCCUGGUUAGCCUAGUCCAGCCAGUAACAGUGAAGAUGACAAUAUUAGAUAUUCCAGAGGUAUAAGCAAGAUAUUUCAAGAUGAACAGUACAGAACUAAGUAUAAUGUGUUAAUUUGUAUUUUUAAUUACUUUUAAACCUAUCCAAUGACUUUAUGAAAAUUUGGCAAUCUAAAUCAAUAAAUAUACUUUCACCAAAUCUUGAAAGAAGUUCUAGUCCACAGGACUAGUAUCUUUUUUCCUUUAUUGUAUGGAAAAAGGAUGUAUUGAAUUACUUUCUCUCAAAGUCCUUUAUAUACCGACUGCAUAUCAUCUCUUAUUCAUUUUUCUCUUUAAAUCUUUACAGUAUGUCUUCUUAUGGAUAAUAUUCCAGUUUCUUUAUCCUUUCAAAGUAUAUUUUCAGAAUCCUUCCUAUAUGUACUUUUUUUUUUUUAAUAACAUAAGAAAUACAGCAUUCCAUAUAGAACACUGCAAAGAAAUAGAAUAAAAGUGUCAGUAUUUUUGCUCAUUCUUUGUGCUCUCUGCAUUUUGCAUCCUUUUGUAUCUUCUGGGUUACACAGGUGACUCCCAGAUCUUUUUUUUUCUGCAUAGUGCUACUUAAUUUAUGUGCAUAAUAUUUGAGGAAACUAGAAUCAAAAUGAAUCCAGAGCAGAAAUUGAAAUCCAAGGAAGAAAUAAACUGAGCUGCAAUAAAUGACCAGAGAAAAUAAAUAAGAGAUCAGCCAACAAACCCCAGGUCUCUCUAUUAUUUAUACCUCCUGGAAUAAAAAUAAAUUGGCUUUGAGGAGACAUGCAUCAAAUUUUUUAGCUGGUGUAAAUCUUUGAGGCAUUACGUCCAUUGGGAGUGGGAGACCUGUGCAGUGACGUGUGCUGGAAGCAGCCAUUUCAUCAGUUUUUCCAUCUGGGCACAGUCUGAAGAAUGACACACCUGCAAAAGAGAAGCAAGCUGCAGUUUCCCAGUUUGCAGGGAGAGGAAAGUCAGGGGUGGCCUUCACCUCUGCCAGUUUUUUACAUGACUGGACGUGGCAGUGGCCUCUAGCAGCUGGUGGCAAGAUGCCAAUGGGGAGCCUGGCUGGCUUGGGCUCUCCUUCUCUACCACCAUAGGCAGCUUUGGCACACACCCAAAUGUAGCUUAGGUACAAUUGCAAUGUUUACUCUUGAGGGGAGUUAGUGACAAUUCCCAUGCCUGAUGUUGUGGAGGUCUAAUCAGUGCCUGAGAAGAGCACAGCCGUGGGCUGUGUCCCCCCCACCAUCAUACCAGUGGUCACGGCUGUGGGCUCCUUACCUUGGGGCAUGGGUGGACCAUGCCCACAGCUGUGGUCCAGUGCAUUUUGGUAUAUGUCUGCAUCAUAGGGCACUCCUGAGGUACCUACCCAGAGAGUGAGCCUGUAAGUGUAACCUUUCAACAGUGUCUGAAGUGCUUCCCUCCCUGGAAGUGUGGGCAACCCCACACCCUGUGGUGUGCCUGGUAGUCCCUACUUUGCACAGUUCUGUGUUAAUGAACUGUGGAGCACACUGUUAUCUGGACUGCUCCUGCAGCUGGCCUUCAUCAGGAAAGAAACUUGGUUUGGGGUAAAAAAUGUGAGGCCACAUUUCAGUCUCAGCAUCAGAGAAAUGCAGUGAGCUCACAGGCAGGAAACACAGGGGGAACUUCUGCAGAGCAUCCCACAGGGCCUGGUGCUUUCCUGCUGCCUUGGGAGAGCAUGUCAGGGUGUUGGGGGAGCUCCAGCAGUGCCAGGCCUUCUUUCCCUGUACUGUUUGGGACAAGGCUGGCCCUGUGGCGUGUAGGAGAAGCUCUGGUCCCUGAGGCAGGUAGUUCCCUUCAGCCAAGAGGGGUAGGUACAACACACUCCUGCUGUCCCUGCAGCACAUAGGAAAAGAAAUUUGGGAAAUCACACAUAGCAUCUUAGCAUAUCCUGAGCUGGAAGGGACUCACAAGGAUCAUCGAGUCCAACUCCUGGCCCUGAACAGAACAACCCCAAGAAUCACACCACAUGUCUGAGAACAUUGUCUGAGCACUUCUAGAACUCUGACAGGUUUGGUGCCAUGACCACUUCCCUGGGGAGCCUGUUUCAGUGCCCAGCCAUCCUCUGGGUGAAGAACCUCUUCCUAAUAUCUAACUUAAAUCUCCCCUGACACAGCUUCAUGCCAUUCCCUUGGGUCCUAUCAUUGGUCACCAGAGAGAAGAAAUCAGUACCUGUCCCACCAUUUCCCCUUGUGAGCAAGCUGUAGAACAUGAUGAGGUCUCCCCCCAGUCUCCUCUUCUCUAGACUGGAUAAACCAAGCAACCUCAGCCACUCCUUAUACACCUUCUCCUCUAGGCUCUUCACCAUCUUUGUUGCCUUCCUUUGGAUGCUCUCUAAUAGUUUAAUAUCCUUCUUAUAUUGUGGCGCCAAAACUGCGCACAAUAUUCAAGGUGAGGCCAAGAGCAGAGCAGGUGGCGAUGCUUUGCCUGAUGGUCCCCAGGACAAAGUUGGCCCUCCUGGCUGCCAGGGCACUGCUGACUCAUAUUCAACUUGCCAUUGACCAGAAUUCUCAGGUCCCUUUCUGUGGGGUUGCUCUCCAACCUCUUGUUUCCUGCUCCGUACAUACAUCCAGGGUUGUCCUGUAAGACACUAAGGAUGCUCCUCUUACCCCAAAUGGGACACUAAUAUGCACUAUAACAAUACAUGCUAUAAUACAGCUGUCUGCCUCAAGUGUAUGUGGCAUGCCUGGGUAGAUGUUAUUUUGUUAUGACCUGACAUCCUCUGUAAAUUUCUUUGGAUAAGAGAAUCGUGGAGCCAUUCUCCCAGCUACGGACGAGAAAAGAGCUUAAAAUAUGUGCAAAUAUUGCUUAAGUGCUGUAGAUGUGUUAAUGUGCUUUUUUUACCUCCCAGGAGUGAUGUAGCAUGACAGGGUGGGGAUGUGAUCAGUCACUGGUGUUACUGUUAGCUUUACAAUAAUGAUCUUUUGAUAUUUGCUCUUAAACUCUGUCACAUAUUUUUGUUCCAUCUUCAACAGGUGUUAAUCUCUUUGCAGAAACAGCUGAGCACUUAACUUUGCUCAGCUGUUUCUAAUCAGAGCCAAAGGCAGUCCUGAAGCAAUUGUAGUAUUUCUCUUUUUAAAUUGUCUAUGCAUAUUUAAAAGGAAAUACUGCACUUCUGUGAGCCCCGAAUAAAAGCGCAUCUUCCCCUGCCUCCAUAAUACCUGCCUAGAAUAAUGCAGAACCAGCUGGAGGCUGGUUGCUCAGUUUUGCUUUUUCAGUACACACUGAAACAUCCAGGGGAUAGACAAAAAAGAGAGGAAGAGCCAGCAAGUGAGCCUGCCCUUCAUUCUGAAUUACUGCAGGGACCCAGUGCUCUGCAAGGGGGAUGGAUGGGCAAAGUCCCUGCAGGAUAGGAUCAUCCACACAGUGGUGGUGGAGGCAUGCACAAAGCAGGCAGCAUCACUAGCUGUAAUAACUGGAGGUUAACAUACAGCAAAACAUCUCUAAUAUCCUUGAAAACUAGUUACCUGGAGAGCAAAGAAUAUAUUGCAUAUCUGCCACAGAAACACACUGCAAGCAGAAGCUUAUAUGAUGUCUGUGCUCUGCUGAGCUUGCAACUGACUUCAGGGGUGCCACUGUCUCCUCUCCCUGACUGAUGGGUUCAUCAAAGAGAAGAUCCCUGUGGGACCCUUCUGGAGUGGCCUUUUGGGAUUUGGUCACAAGACGAAUUUUUAUCAGGCUGUACCAAAUGUUUAUUGUCAGUAUAUUUUGAGUUUUGGCUCUCGGUGUAACUAACAACUAGUAUUUUUUGUAAGUCCCAUCAGACUUUCAGGUCCACCAUGGUUGAAAUUAACUGACUCACCAUACAAAAUCUGUGCAUUUGAGCACCAUGUUGUUGCAACAACAACACUGCCAGGCUCUACUAGAGGGUUAUUUGACUAUCUGUAAACAUCAAAUUGUUUUACAGAGGAAAUUCCAGAACAUAAAUCCAGGAAAUUCCCAGUAAAUAUCAAAUCUGGAAGAAAUCCAAACACAUAUUGAUAUUGAAGUUCACAUACCUGAGAAAUGUUAUUAAUUUAGUUUGCAAAGCAGAGCAUGCUGGUAAGUCAAUUAGGCAUUCACUUCCAUUAUCAGGAAGCAUCCCUAUGGAAAAAUACUUGGAGCAAGUUUACCUCACUGAAACAGUUUGUGGUUCUGUGGUAACCCAAAUCCUCAUUUCUGUCUCUCUCUCUGCAGCUGCUCUGUCCUUGCCAUCUGAAAUGCCUUCAUUGCUUUCCUUAAUUGUUUUAACCCAGAGCCAGUCUUGGUGGUUGCAGAGUCCUGGAGCUGUCCACAAGGAACUGGGAAGAAGGAGGAGGCAGUGACCAGGGUGCAGGAGGUCUUCUGGCACUGCUGGAUCACUGCCUGUCCUGAGGCUGAGGGGAAUUUCCCUGUUAUUCCCUCUUACCAGAUAUUAAGCAAAUAAGCAAGAAAUGACAAUGUGCCUCUCCAAUCAAGACUUUUUCAGCACUAUUAAAACUAAAGUUACUUCUCAUCAAGUGCCUGAAGAAACGUUGCUCACUGUAUACUGUGAGAAAGAGAAUUUUCCAAUUCCUAUUUCUGCUCAGAUGUUGUACUUGCAUAUGCUACACAAAGAAAUUAAAAUUGAAGAUGGAGAACACAUAGGAUUACUUUUCUACAAUAGGCAGACCACUGGACAAAUCAAUAUCUGAGUUUCUAUUUGCUUUUUCCUACUCCCUAGAUCAAAUAAAGCUAUUAAUUGGUGUUAUAUUCGUGGUGCUGUUGCCCUUUGCAAAAUAUACUCAUUAAAAAUGCUUCUUGGUUCAAA
This is a long non-coding RNA of Pseudopipra pipra, 13387 nucleotides long. RefSeq lists it as uncharacterized. The record is from RefSeq and is a predicted model, not a curated record. The transcript is spliced from 3 exons. Lineage: Eukaryota; Metazoa; Chordata; Aves; Passeriformes; Pipridae.